GCCGGGAUGGCCCAGUCUGGUACGGCGCGGGCCUGCUAAGCCCGUUCUCUUCGGAGAUCAGGGGUUCAAAUCCCCUUCCCGGCG
Molecule: transfer RNA, 84 nt
Filed under: Thermococci archaeon
Lineage: Archaea; Methanobacteriati; Methanobacteriota; Thermococci
Also listed under: 2 other names
Description: tRNA-Ser
Rfam family: tRNA
About the family: Transfer RNA (tRNA) molecules are approximately 80 nucleotides in length. Their secondary structure includes four short double-helical elements and three loops (D, anti-codon, and T loops).
Source: RNAcentral